GACGAACGCUGGCGGCGUGCUUAACACAUGCAAGUCGAGCGGUAAGGCCCUUUCGGGGUACGACGAGCGGCGAACGGGUGAGUAACACGUGGGUGACCUGCCCUCAGCUCUGGGAUAAGCCUGGGAAACCGGGUCUAAUACCGGAUAUGACUCCAUGACGCAUGUUGUGGGGUGGAAAGCCUUGUGCGGCUGAGGAUGGGCCCGCGGCCUAAUCAGCUUGUUGGUGGGGUGAUGGCCUACCAAGGCGACGACGGGUAGCCGGCCUGAGAGGGCGACCGGCCACACUGGGACUGAGACACGGCCCAGACUCCUACGGGAGGCAGCAGUGGGGAAUCUUGCGCAAUGGGCGAAAG
This 353-nucleotide ribosomal RNA is filed under the name uncultured bacterium. RNAcentral describes it as "bacterial SSU rRNA". It matches the Rfam family "Bacterial small subunit ribosomal RNA", at positions 28 to 381 of the family's 1533-position model. The record is from RNAcentral.